This 423-nucleotide ribosomal RNA is filed under the name uncultured Amoebophrya. RNAcentral's name for it is "partial Eukaryotic large subunit ribosomal RNA". It matches the Rfam family "Eukaryotic large subunit ribosomal RNA", at positions 16 to 436 of the family's 3401-position model. The record is from RNAcentral. Lineage: Eukaryota; Dinophyceae; Syndiniales.
CGAGAUUACCCGCUGAACUUAAGCAUAUCAAUAAGCGGAGGAAAAGAAACCAACAGGGAUUGCCCUAGUAACGGCGAGUGAAGCGGCAACAGCUCAAAUUUGAAAUCUGGCUCUUUUAGAGUCCGAGUUGUAAUUUGCAGAGGGCGCUUUGGCUUUGGCAGCGGUCCAAGUUCCUUGGAACAGGACGUCACAGAGGGUGAGAAUCCCGUACGUGGUCGCUGGCUAUUGCCGUGUAAAGCCCCUUCGACGAGUCGAGUUGUUUGGGAAUGCAGCUCUAAAUGGGAGGUACAUUUCUUCUAAAGCUAAAUAUUGGCCAGAGACCGAUAGCGCACAAGUAGAGUGAUCGAAAGAUGAAAAGCACUUUGGAAAGAGAGUCAAACAGCACGUGAAAUUGUUAAAAGGGAAGCGCUUGCAGCCAGACUU